AUGUAGGAAAAGAGAGGUUAUUCAACUAGAAAAGUAAGAGUUGCGCAAAGAAGAUGAAGGAAAUAUCUUUUUGAAGAGCGUUAAUUUAUUAACUGGAAAUCUCUGCCUUUUAUAGGCUUACAAACUCUAAAAGAUCCAAGACUCUACUUGACUAAAAACUAGGAACCAUAUCAGAAAAAAUAGCAACUGAAUCCGAAAAUAUAGCAACCUAACAAAGACUCUUUCAACUCUAGUGAAAGACUUAUUCAACUAACAGUAAAACGUAUCCUAUGCAGUAACUUAACAAAACAGGCUUUGAAUCAAUUCUCAACACUCCCCCUUGAUUCAAAAUCACAUAUGCCGAGGCGUAACAUAAAGUAAUUGUGCUUUGCUGGAGGAAGUGCUUUAGUAAGAAUAUCUGCCACUUGUUCUUCGGUGCUACAACUCUUCAACUCAAUCAGCCCUUCUGCAACAAGUUCACGGAUGAAAUGGUGCCGAAUAUCUAUGUGCUUCGAUCUUCCGUGACAAACAGGAUUUUUAGCCAUUGCAAUUGCUGAUAGAUUAUCACAGAAAAUUUUUGUUGCCCCCUUUUGUUCUUGGUGAAGAUCAGCAAGUAUUUUCCUGAGCCACAAUGCUUGGCAUGUUGAAGAUGCUGCUGCGACAUAUUCAGCCUCGGAAGUAGACAACGCUGCUGUUGGUUGUUUCUUUGAGCUCCAAGUAAUAGCUGCAGAACCAAGAGUGAAAAGGUUCCCGGAAACAUUCUUUCUAUCAUCCAAACAUCUCCCAUAAUCACUAUCUGAAUAACCAUAGAGAUUAAAAUUGGAACUUCGAAAGUACCAUAGUCCAAAUCCUGUAGUUCCAGCAACAUAGCGCAAGACUCUUUUAGCUGCUCCAAGAUGAUGCUUUGAAGGCCUAUGCAUAAACCUUGAAAUCAUUCCAACAGAAAAUGAUAUAUCAGGACGAGUGUGCGUCAAAUAAAUUAAGCCUCCAACUAAGCUUCUAAAAUAACUUCCAUCAGCUUUUUCAAUAUCAUCAUCAAGUUGCAGCUUCUCAUUUACAUUCAUAGGAGUAGCCACUAUUUUGCAAUUAAGCAAAUUAAAUCUUUUGAGAAGAUCAAUGGCAUACUUCCUUUGUGAAAUGAAAAUUCCAUCUUCUUCCUGCUUCACUUCAAGUCCAAGAAAAUAGUGCAACACUCCCAAAUCAGUCAUUUCAAAUUUUUUCAUCAUAGAAGAUUUGAAAUCACAUACAAGAGAGUGAGAUGAGCCCAUAUAGAUCAUAUCAUCAACAUACAAACACACCAUCAAAAGAUCAUUUUUUCCAUAUUUUUUCACAUAUAAAGUUGGUUCAUUCUUACUUCUUUCAAAUCCAUUUUCUCUGAAAUGUGAGUCGAUUUUGCUAUACCAAGCGCGAGGAGCUUGUUUUAGCCCAUAGAGUGCUUUCUUCAACUUGUAUACUUUGUUCUCCUUUCCUUUCUCCACAUAGCCAUCUGGUUGUGUCACAUACACUUCUUCUUCCAAAUCGCCAUUAAGGAAUGCAGACUUAACAUCAAAUUGAUAAACCUUCCAUUUUAAUUGUACAGCCAAAGCUAAAACGAUUCUUAUUGUUUCAAAGCGAGCAACUGGAGAGAAAGUCUCGUCAAAGUCAAUACCUUGUUGCUGCGAAUAUCCUUUUGCGACCAAUCUGGCUUUGUGUUUCUGCACGCUCCCGUCAACAUGGUAUUUUGUCUUGAACACCCAUUUUAAUCCGAUAACAUUUUUUCCAUCUGGAAGGUCCACCAAGUCCCAUGUCCCAUUCUUUCUUAUUGCCAUAAGCUCUUCUUCCAUUGCACACCUCCAUUCCAUUUUUGUUGAAGCUUCCUUAAAACUAGCUGGAUCUGCACCAAAUAAAGCAAAGGUACAUGUUUCAUAAAUAUCUGACAGCGACCUAACCUUCUGUGGAGGAGUUUCAUUAGAAUCUUCUGAGUCAGGCACCAUCAAUGUUGGGCUGCUACCACUUGGACUGAUGUUGCUGGAAUUUCUUGAAUAGUGGCUUGGUGGAUCAGCAAGAGGUUGACUUACUGCUUCACCAGGAACGGCUUCAUUUCCCACUGCAACUUGUGAGCUUUGAUUGUUGCUUUCCCAUUUCCAGCAGGCGUUCUCAUCAAAUACAACAUCUCUUCUAAUAAUCACUUUACCAUUUGUGGGAUUAUACAAUCUAAAAGCUUUGGAUUCAGAGCAAUAUCCAAAGAAAAUGCAUUUUUCAGAUUUUUCAUCAAGCUUUUUAUGAUGUUGAGAAUUUAUCAAAGCAUAUGCAAUACAACCGAAAAUUCUCAAAUGACUUACCCAUGGCUUUCUACCUUUACAGAUUUCAAAAGGUGUUCGACCCAUAACUGCUUUUGUCGGAGAAAUGUUUAGCAGAUAAACUGCAGUAUGAACAGCUUCAGCCCAAAACUGAUUUGGAAGAUCCUUACUCUUCAACAUGCUCCUAGCCAUCUCCAUUACAGUUCGGUUCUUCCGCUCAGCAAUCCCAUUUUGCUCCGGAGUAUAAGGUGCAGUUAAUUCCCUGUGAAUGCCAUUUUCUUCACAAAACACCUUAAAUUCUUGGGACAAGAAUUCACCUCCUCUGUCGGUACGAAGAACCCUAACUUUGUUACCGACUUGGUUUUCCACCAGCGCCUUGAAUUUUUUGAAGCUUGCAAAAGUUUCUGAUUUGAGUUUCAAAAAAUAUACCCAACUCAUCCGACUGUAAUCAUCAGUUAAUAACAGAAAAUAUCGAGAACCAGCAAGUGAUUCUGUGUUCAUAGGACCACAUAAAUCUGCGUGAACAAUUUCAAGACAACUAGUAGCUCUGAAAGAUCUUCCAACAGGAAAAGAUUUUCUAUGUUGCUUGCCAUAUAUACAACCUUCACAUACAUUUUCAACAGGUCCUAUAUUUGGCAAACCAUGAACCAUCUUAUUUUGACUAAGCAAUCUCAAUCCACUCAUAUUCAAGUGUCCAUAACGCAAAUGCCACAACUUAGACUCUUCAAGAUUUUUCUCACUAACAACAAGGGCUUGUUCGACUUUUGAAACUUCAAGUGGAAACAUUUUAUUCUCUGUCAUACGAAUACUUGCUAAGAUUUGACCUGAAUUUUUAUUCUUAAUAACACAUGAGCUAUCAUCAAACAAGACAGAGAAUCCACUAUUCAACAAUUGCCCAACACUUAGCAAGUUAUGUGCCAAACUAGGAGCAAAUAAAACAUUUUGAAUAAGUUUCACUUUACCUUGACUAGUUUGGACAGCAACAAUACCUUCACCUUCGACUUGAAUUUCCUUAUUAUCUCCAAGCCAAAUUCGCCUCUUUUUGGUCUCAUCUAACUCUUUAAACCCUUUUCUGUCACCAGUCAUGUGAUGGGAGCAGCCACUAUCAACAAACCAAACAUCAGUCUUAUGAUCUAUGGUGGUAGAGCGAGCCAUGAAAAGCAUGCUUUCUUCUUCCUCUUCCUCAACAUAACCAGCUUGAUCAUUUUUGUACCAGCAGUUAGCUUCUAUAUGGCCAAACCUGUGACAAUUGUAACAUUGCACUCCAUUUCUACGGCUAUUUGUCCACUUGGAUUGGCUUCUACCUCUACCACGCCCUCUGCCUCUAAAAGAUCCUCUGCCACGUCCUUGUACUCCUUGUUCUAGUGACUUCUCAUUCUGAAUUUGAGGCUGUUCCUUCACUUGAAAAGCUUGUUCUUCAGUCCUCUCUGUUGACUUAUUGAUCCGUGAUUCAUGAGAUUGCAAAGAACCCAUUAAUUGAUCAAAUGAAAACACAGAUAAGUCUUUUGAUUCCUCUAUGGCUGCAACCACAUGAUCAAAUUUCGAAGGUAAACUUCUUAAAACUUUUGAAACUACAAUUUCAUCGCCUACCUCUUCACCAUAUGAUUUCAUUUGACUUACAAUUCCGCUAACUCUUGAUAAAAAAUCUUGCACAGAUUCACUGUUUUUCAUGAACAAUGUUUCAAAAUCACGACGAAGAGAUUGUAGUUUCACAGUGAUUACCUUUGAGGAACCUUGAAACUCGGUUUUCAAAGUCAGCCAAGCAUCUCUUGAGGUAGCAGCUGCUGCAAUUCUUGAGAAAAUUGUCUCAUGAACGGCUUGCUGAAUAAAGAACAAAGCUUUGGCGUCCAACUUUCUGAUUUCUUUUAAUCUCCUUUCUUCCUCUGCAUCCGGCUCUUGUACAUCAACGAACCCAUCUUCGACUAUGUCCCACAAUUCUUGAGACCUCAACAAAGUCUUCAUCUUGAUACUCCAAAACUCAUACUUUUCACCAUUGAAGACGGGUAUGAGCGGCUGUGAAGAAGAGGACAUACCAUUUGCUGCCAUAACUCCUUUUCUNNNNNNNNNNNNNNNNNNNNNNNNNNNNNNNNNNNNNNNNNNNNNNNNNNNNNNNNNNNNNNNNNNNNNNNNNNNNNNNNNNNNNNNNNNNNNNNNNNNNNNNNNNNNNNNNNNNNNNNNNNNNNNNNNNNNNNNNNNNNNNNNNNNNNAUUUAUUAACUGGAAAUCUCUGCCUUUUAUAGGCUUACAAACUCUAAAAGAUCCAAGACUCUACUUGACUAAAAACUAGGAACCAUAUCAGAAAAAAUAGCAACUGAAUCCGAAAAUAUAGCAACCUAACAAAGACUCUUUCAACUCUAGUGAAAGACUUAUUCAACUAACAGUAAAACGUAUCCUAUGCAGUAACUUAACAAAACAGGCUUUGAAUCAAUUCUCAACAAA
Molecule: long non-coding RNA, 4696 nt
Filed under: Capsicum annuum
Lineage: Eukaryota; Viridiplantae; Streptophyta; Magnoliopsida; Solanales; Solanaceae
Description: long non-coding RNA (CANN_LNC010880)
Source: RNAcentral